GCCUACGGGAGGCAGCAGUAGGGAAUCUUCCACAAUGGGGGAAACCCUGAUGCAGCGACGCCGCGUGGGCGAGGAAGUACCUCGGUAUGUAAAGCCCUAUCAGCAGGGAAGAAACAGGACAGUACCUGACUAAGAAGCCCCGGCUAACUACGUGCCAGCAGCCGCGGUAAUACGUAGGGGGCAAGCGUUAUCCGGAUUCACUGGGCGUAAAGGGAGCGCAGGCGGCAUGGCAAGUCUGAUGUGAAAACCCGGGGCCCAACCCCGGGAGGGGCUUGGAAACUGCCAGGCGGGAGUGUCGGAGGGGG
Molecule: ribosomal RNA, 305 nt
Filed under: uncultured bacterium
Lineage: Bacteria
Description: bacterial SSU rRNA
Rfam family: Bacterial small subunit ribosomal RNA
Source: RNAcentral